AGCAGUCGCCGCGGUAAUACGUAGGUGGCAAGCGUUGUCCGGAGUUAUUGGGCGUAAAGCGCGCGCAGGCGGAUCAGUUAGUCUGUCUUAAAAGUUCGGGGCUUAACCCCGUGAUGGGAUGGAAACUGCUGAUCUAGAGUAUCGGAGAGGAAAGUGGAAUUCCUAGUGUAGCGGUGAAAUGCGUAGAUAUUAGGAAGAACACCAGUGGCGAAGGCGACUUUCUGGACGGAAACUGACGCUGAGGCGCGAAAGCCAGGGGAGCGAACGGGAUUAGAUACCCCAGUAGUCCCUGUCUCUUAUACC
Molecule: ribosomal RNA, 303 nt
Filed under: uncultured bacterium
Lineage: Bacteria
Description: partial 16S ribosomal RNA
Rfam family: Bacterial small subunit ribosomal RNA
Source: RNAcentral